This 331-nucleotide ribosomal RNA is filed under the name uncultured bacterium. RNAcentral's name for it is "bacterial SSU rRNA". It matches the Rfam family "Bacterial small subunit ribosomal RNA", at positions 568 to 898 of the family's 1533-position model. The record is from RNAcentral.
UCCGUAGGCGGUGUGGCAAGUCGGAAGUGAAAUCUCUGGGCUUAACUCAGAGGCUGCUUCCGAAACUGCCGUGCUAGAGUGCGAGAGAGGCAAGUGGAAUUGCGGGUGUAGCGGUGAAAUGCGUAGAUAUCCGCAGGAACAUCCGAGGCGAAAGCGGCUUGCUGGAUCGCAACUGACGCUGAGGGACGAAAGGCUAGGGGAGCAAACAGGAUUAGAUACCCUGGUAGUCCUAGCCCUAAACCAUCAGGACUUGGGGUUUGCCCUGUACGGGGCAAGUCCCGUAGCUAACGCGUUAAGUCCUGCGCCUGGGGAGUACGGUCGCAAGGCUGAA